GUAUGGUGCAAGCGUUAUCCGGAUUUACUGGGUGUAAAGGGAGCGCAGGCGGUGCGGCAAGUCUGAUGUGAAAGCCCGGGGCUCAACCCCGGUACUGCAUUGGAAACUGUCGUACUAGAGUGUCGGAGGGGUAAGCGGAAUUCCUAGUGUAGCGGUGAAAUGCGUAGAUAUUAGGAGGAACACCAGUGGCGAAGGCGGCUUACUGGACGAUAACUGACGCUGAGGCUCGAAAGCGUGGGGAGCAAACAGGAUUAGAUACCCUGGUAGUCCACGCCGUAAGCGAUGAAUACUAGGUGUUGGGAAGCAUUGCUUCUCGGUGCCGUCGCAAACGCAGUAAGUAUUCCACCUGGGGAGUACGUUCGCAAGAAUG
Molecule: ribosomal RNA, 370 nt
Filed under: uncultured bacterium
Lineage: Bacteria
Description: bacterial SSU rRNA
Rfam family: Bacterial small subunit ribosomal RNA
Source: RNAcentral